AUAAUGAUACUUCCGGUGACGGCUGUCGCACAUGAAUGGGCAGAGGUGAGAGUCCUAUGU
RNAcentral lists this non-coding RNA (60 nucleotides) under unclassified sequences. RNAcentral describes it as "pemK RNA". It matches the Rfam family "pemK RNA". The record is from RNAcentral.